ACGGGGGGUGCAAGCGUUAUUCGGAAUUAUUGGGCGUAAAGGGCGCGUAGGCGGCUCUGAAAGUCAGAUGUGAAAUCCCGGGGCUCAACCCCGGCAUUGCAUUUGAAACUACAUGGCUUGAGUAUGGGAGAGGGAAGUGGAAUUCCUGGUGUAGAGGUGAAAUUCGUAGAUAUCAGGAGGAACACCGGUGGCGAAAGCGACUUCCUGGACCAAUACUGACGCUGAGGCGCGAAGGCGUGGGGAGCAAACAGGAUUAGAUACCCUGGUAGUCCACGCAGUAAACGUUGAACACUAGGUGUAGCGGGUAUUGACCCCUGCUGCGCCGCAGCUAACGCAUUAAGUAUUCCGCCUGGGGAGUACGAUCGCAAGAUUA
This 373-nucleotide ribosomal RNA is filed under the name uncultured bacterium. RNAcentral's name for it is "bacterial SSU rRNA". It matches the Rfam family "Bacterial small subunit ribosomal RNA", at positions 525 to 896 of the family's 1533-position model. The record is from RNAcentral.